GCAGGAACGCGAGUCUUCGGACUUCAACUUCUGAUCUCAAAUC
This 43-nucleotide ribosomal RNA is filed under the name Basidiobolus sp. ARSEF 5889. RNAcentral's name for it is "partial 28S ribosomal RNA". Lineage: Eukaryota; Fungi; Basidiobolomycota; Basidiobolomycetes; Basidiobolales; Basidiobolaceae. The record is from RNAcentral.